GAUGAACGCUGGCGGCGUGCCUAAUACAUGCAAGUCGAGCGAACAGACGAGUAGCUUGCUCCUCUGACGUUAGCGGCGGACGGGUGAGUAACACGUGGAUAACCUACCUAUAAGACUGGGAUAACUUCGGGAAACCGGCGCUAAUACCGCAUAAUAUAUUGAACCGCAUGGUUCAAUAGUGAAAGACGGUUUUGCUGUCACCUAUAGAUGGAUCCGCGCCGCAUUAGCUAGUUGGUAAGGUAACGGCUUACCAAGGCAACGAUGCGUAGCCGACCUGAGAGGGUGAUCGGCCACACUGGAACUGAGACACGGUCCAGACUCCUACGGGAGGCAGCAGUAGGGAAUCUUCCGCAAUGGGCGAAAGCCUGACGGAGCAACGCCGCGUGAGUGAUGAAGGUCUUCGGAUCGUAAAACUCUGUUAUUAGGGAAGAACAAAUGUGUAAGUAACUAUGCACGUCUUGACGGUACCUAAUCAGAAAGCCACGGCUAACUACGUG
Molecule: ribosomal RNA, 497 nt
Filed under: uncultured bacterium
Lineage: Bacteria
Description: partial 16S ribosomal RNA
Rfam family: Bacterial small subunit ribosomal RNA
Source: RNAcentral